Molecule: small RNA, 120 nt
Filed under: Phyllobacterium trifolii
Lineage: Bacteria; Pseudomonadati; Pseudomonadota; Alphaproteobacteria; Hyphomicrobiales; Phyllobacteriaceae
Description: sRNA ar35
Rfam family: Alphaproteobacterial sRNA ar35
Source: RNAcentral
AAUUCAAGGGCACGCUUCAUAUAUAGCGUUUAGAAAUUCGUCUCCGCUUUUGACCACGGAUGUACUGGCACUGGCGUUGAGGCGAAUUCGGAAGGUCGGGAAUUCCCGGCCUUUUUUGUU